GAUGAACGCUGGCGGCGUGCUUAACACAUGCAAGUCGAACGAUGAAGCCCAGCUUGCUGGGUGGAUUAGUGGCGAACGGGUGAGUAACACGUGAGUAACCUGCCCUUAACUCUGGGAUAAGCCUGGGAAACUGGGUCUAAUACCGGAUAGGAGCGUCCACCGCAUGGUGGGUGUUGGAAAGAUUUAUCGGUUUUGGAUGGACUCGCGGCCUAUCAGCUUGUUGGUGAGGUAAUGGCUCACCAAGGCGACGACGGGUAGCCGGCCUGGGAGGGUGACCGGCCACCCUGGGACUGCGACACGGCCCAGACUCCUACGGGAGGCAGCAGUGGGGAAUAUUGCACAAUGGGCGCAAGCCUGAUGCAGCGACGCCGCGUGAGGGAUGACGGCCUUCGGGUUGUAAACCUCUUUCAGUAGGGAAGAAGCGACAGUGACGGUACCUGCAGAAGAAGCACCGGCUAACUACGUG
Molecule: ribosomal RNA, 466 nt
Filed under: uncultured bacterium
Lineage: Bacteria
Description: partial 16S ribosomal RNA
Rfam family: Bacterial small subunit ribosomal RNA
Source: RNAcentral